Long non-coding RNA from Cyprinus carpio (common carp), 708 nucleotides. The record is from Ensembl. NCBI's taxonomy places the organism in Eukaryota, Metazoa, Chordata, Actinopteri, Cypriniformes, Cyprinidae.
AUGGUGCGAGCAUAUGGUUUGCAACUUGUGAUUACCUGCUGCAGCCCCUUUCCAGCUUUUCUCCUCACGCACCCAAACCGGAGUCGCGGCUGCCCCCCUUUAAGAGAUCCGACAGUGCUGUGGAAGUUCCCUCAGGACUUUGGAGACCAGGUUGGAGACAGAGGAACUUUUUUUUUCUCUCCAUCCCCCCCACCCACAAGCACCACAUCCACGACCCCUCCUGCUCCUAAAGGCUUCCCUCCUUCCCCUCUCCCUUCAUUUUCUCUGUCUCUCUCUCUGCCAUGCAGUGUGAUGUUGCUGAUAAUGAAAUGCAGUGAGCAGGUCUUCAAUAAGCGUUGUUCUGGUAAUUAUCAGCUGGCUGUGAUGUGAAUGGGUGCGGAUGGAGCUUCAUCGUACACCCACUGCUGUACCUCACACCAGUACAGCUGUGUGUCGCUCAUGAGCUGGUACUAUAUCACACUAGUAAUGCAUAAUAGAGAGUAAUAUACCAGCCUAAACAGUCAAUAUUUGGCUGUUUUGAGAUGAUCACUUCACAUUCUACCUUGUGUCUACACCAAAAUGUAGUUUUUAAAUGUUUUUUUUUUUUUAGAUAUUAAUUAAAAAAAAAAUUAUUUAGAAUUUUUUUUAAAAAUAAUUUAGUGAUAUUAAUAUUUUGUCUAAAGGUAUUUUUUUAUUUUAUUUUAAAAUAAAUGUAUUAAAAAUCGAACA